CUCGAACUCUCGUCUUUUUGGGAUCGCCGUGAUCGCACAGAUUGACGAAUGACGACGUAGCAGAGAGCUGGUUGGUGCGCGGAUACCGGGACACAAGAGGGGACAGCAUCUUCCACAUCGCCACGGCAACGUUCAUCACGAAUAAGAAGAAUCGCGGGACGGAAAAUCGAGACGAGGGAGCGAGGGGCACCUAGCCCUUUGGCGAACUCGAAGGAUGCAGCUCCCAGGCGGGAGCACGAGGAUUCCACCCGCAAGAGCACCGGCCUCACUUCUCGUGAUCAUCAACGGGAGUAAUAUAGCAUCGAUUGUCACGAAGAAACGUAACAACAAACGUAAAAACAGCAGCGAAAGCGGCGGAUCCGGUAGAAAUAGCGAUAAAAACGUAAGAAAAAACGACAGUAGUGGAAAAAACGGUGCUGAGAGGAACGAGCCGUGUCUCCUAAAGAGAAGUCGCCAUCCCGAGACGAGGACGAACCGCCGACACCGAGUCACCGAGAAGCCCCAGCUGCUGGCGUCAACCCCAAGGCGGAAGGAGCGGGGCGCGGAAUAGUGAAAAGAAAAUAAAGAAAAAUCGAGGAACGACGGAAGAAGAGGAA
Long non-coding RNA from Habropoda laboriosa, 596 nucleotides. RefSeq lists it as uncharacterized. NCBI's taxonomy places the organism in Eukaryota, Metazoa, Arthropoda, Insecta, Hymenoptera, Apidae. The record is from RefSeq and is a predicted model, not a curated record. The transcript has 4 exons.